AUGAACGCUGGCGGCGUGCCUAAUACCUGCAAGUCGAGCGAACAGACGAGGAGCUUGCUCCUUUGACGUUAGCGGCGGCCGGGUGAGUAACACGUGGGUAACCUACCUAUAAGACUGGGAUAACUUCGGGAAACCGGAGCUAAUACCGGAUAAUAUUUCGAACCGCAUGGUUCGAUAGUGAAAGAUGGCUUUGCUAUCACUUAUAGAUGGACCUGCGCCGUAUUAGCUAGUUGGUAAGGUAACGGCUUACCAAGGCAACGAUACGUAGCCGACCUGAGAGGGUGAUCGGCCACACUGGAACUGAGACACGGUCCAGACUCCUACGGGAGGCAGCAGUAGGGAAUCUUCCGCAAAGGGCGAAAGCCUGACGGAGCAACGCCGCGUGAGUGAUGAAGGUCUUCGGAUCGUAAAACUCUGUUAUUAGGGAAGAACAAACGUGUAAGUAACUGUGCACGUCUUGACGGUACCUAAUCAGAAAGCCACGGCUAACUACGUG
Molecule: ribosomal RNA, 496 nt
Filed under: uncultured bacterium
Lineage: Bacteria
Description: partial 16S ribosomal RNA
Rfam family: Bacterial small subunit ribosomal RNA
Source: RNAcentral